UCCAGGCGCUCCGUGUUAAUCAGGCUCGCGCAUUAGCAUUCCGUUAUACACCGUGAUUAACAAUAUCGCAGCGCGCGGGAACUCCGCCGACCAGACAAUAGACCGGUGGACCUGCGGCUGAGCCCCGGUCUCUCUCACUCACCCCCACCCAGUCAUAAAGGCCCUGUAAAGUAUCGGGUCGCAGAGUGUUCUGGUGAAUUAACGCACUUCAGCCAAAUCUCGACUCAUUACUGCAGUGACUGCACGCACUAAAUCACCCGAGGUCGUAAACCCGUGGCGGUAUAGCGCACGCUGCAGCUGUGUUUCCAUCACUCGGCCCUAAUUCUAUAGGCCUACGCUCCAAUUAUUGUUGUGUUAUGUAAACUUUAGAUUGAAAUCCAUCCAAUCAGAAGACCAGAUGAUGUUGUAUAGGCUCUAUAGUGUAAUAUAGUUCUAUAGUGUGAUGUAAUAUAGGUCUAUAGUGGAAUGUAAUAUAGUGUGAUGUAAUAUAGGUCUAUAGUGUAAUAUAGUUCUAUAGCAGAGUGUAAUAUAGUGUGAUGUAAUAUAGGUCUAUAGUGUAAUAUAGUUCUAUAGUGUGAUGUAAUAUAGGUCUAUAGUGGAAUGUAAUAUAGUGUGAUGUAAUAUAGGUCUAUAGUGGAAUGUAAUAUAGUGUGAUGUAAUAUAGGUCUAUAG
Long non-coding RNA from Oncorhynchus keta (chum salmon), 672 nucleotides. RefSeq lists it as uncharacterized. The transcript is spliced from 3 exons. NCBI's taxonomy places the organism in Eukaryota, Metazoa, Chordata, Actinopteri, Salmoniformes, Salmonidae. The record is from RefSeq and is a predicted model, not a curated record.